AACUUUUAACAAUGGAUCUCUUGGCUUUUGCAUCGAUGAAGAACGUAGCAAAUUGCGAUAACUAGUGUGAAUUGCAAAUUCAGUGAAUCAUCGAGUCUUUGAACGCAUCUUGCGCUCAUUGGUAUUCCAGUGAGCACGCCUGUUUCAGUAUCAAAA
This 156-nucleotide ribosomal RNA is filed under the name Choanephora cucurbitarum. Its description in RNAcentral is "5.8S ribosomal RNA". It matches the Rfam family "5.8S ribosomal RNA". Rfam says of the family: 5.8S ribosomal RNA (5.8S rRNA) is a component of the large subunit of the eukaryotic ribosome. It is transcribed by RNA polymerase I as part of the 45S precursor that also contains 18S and 28S rRNA. Functionally, it is thought that 5.8S rRNA may be involved in ribosome translocation. RNAcentral also lists the same sequence under 3 other names. Lineage: Eukaryota; Fungi; Mucoromycota; Mucoromycetes; Mucorales; Choanephoraceae. The record is from RNAcentral.